CCUACGGGUGGCAGCAGUGGGGAAUAUUGCACAAUGGGCGAAAGCCUGAUGCAGCAACGCCGCGUGAAGGAAGAAGGGUCUCGGCUCGUAAACUUCUAUUAACAGGGACGUAAGAAAUUACGGUACCUGAAUAAGAAGCCCCGGCUAACUACGUGCCAGCAGCCGCGGUAAUCCGUAGGGGGCAAGCGUUAUCCGGAAUUACUGGGUGUAAAGGUUGAGUAGGUGGCAUGGUAAGCCAGAUGUGAAAGCCUUGGGCUUAACCCGAGGAUUGCAUUUGGAACUAUCAAGCUAGAGUACAGGGGAGGAAAGCGGAAUUCCUGGUGUAGCGGUGAAAUGCGUAGAUAUUAGGAAGAACACCGGUGGCGAAGGCGGCUUUCUGGACUGACACUGACGCUGAGGCACGAAAGCGUGGGGAGCGAACAGGAUUAGAUACCCUUGUAGUC
Molecule: ribosomal RNA, 443 nt
Filed under: uncultured bacterium
Lineage: Bacteria
Description: partial 16S ribosomal RNA
Rfam family: Bacterial small subunit ribosomal RNA
Source: RNAcentral